AAAGGCUGUGUAUCAUAUGCCAACCACAGAGAAUGACAUGCCAUCAGGGAGCAUUCCAUUGGCUCUGCAAAGUUUAUUUUAUAAGCUCCAAUAUAGUGAUACCAGUGUGGCGACUAAAGAAUUGACAAAAUCUUUCGGAUGGGACACUUAUGAUUCAUUCAUGCAGCAUGACGUGCAGGAACUAAACAGAGUGUUGUGUGAAAAGCUUGAAGACAAGAUGAAGGGUACGGUUGUGGAAGGGACAAUUCAGAAGUUAUU
This 258-nucleotide unclassified non-coding RNA is filed under the name Hevea brasiliensis (rubber tree). Lineage: Eukaryota; Viridiplantae; Streptophyta; Magnoliopsida; Malpighiales; Euphorbiaceae. The record is from RNAcentral.